GAGAGCGCAAACUUAACCACUCGGCCACGGGGCCGGCCCUACCAAACAUUUUAAACAACAUUUUGCAGUUGAUGUGAGAACAACCUUAAAAGUCAUAAGAGGCACAGGUAUUGUGGUAGCUCCUUUCUGAAUAUUCAUUCUUACUGUGUAAUGCUGAGGAAGAUCGUCCCGAGGGCAGACUGAACCGAUGCUCAAGGCUCAUCAUAGAAGUCACUUUGAAAAAUUGCCUGUGUCUCUGAUAGCCUCUAUCUGCAAGGCUUUUGAACCCUGUGUCUCCUGGUAUGAGAAGAGAAUUUUGAGUUAAAAGACAGCAAGAGAACUUGCCCAAUAUCACCAUCAAACUAGAGACCUAAGCAAGCUGUGGAGACGAACUCCCGCGCCCGUGAGACUGGCUCAGCAAAGAAGAGAUGCAGUCACUCUGGAAGAAUUUUCCAAGGCGAUGUGUCUGCACUCUUGUCACCGUGCUCUGUGCCUCAGAAGCUGACCCUUAUUGACUGAGCCCAUGGCUCCUUU
RNAcentral lists this long non-coding RNA (513 nucleotides) under Equus asinus (donkey). RNAcentral describes it as "lncRNA (ENSEASG00005031226.1)". The record is from RNAcentral. Lineage: Eukaryota; Metazoa; Chordata; Mammalia; Perissodactyla; Equidae.